ACUCUGACCAGCCAUGCCGCGUGCAGGAUGACUGCCCUAUGGGUUGUAAACUGCUUUUAUCCGGGAAUAAACCUACUUACGUGUAAGUAGCUGAACGUACCGGAGGAAUAAGGAUCGGCUAACUCCGUGCCAGCAGCCGCGGUAAUACGGAGGAUCCAAGCGUUAUCCGGAUUUAUUGGGUUUAAAGGGUGCGUAGGCGGCCUGUUAAGUCAGGGGUGAAAGACGGUAGCUCAACUAUCGCAGUGCCCUUGAUACUGAUGGGCUUGAAUGGACUAGAGGUAGGCGGAAUGAGACAAGUAGCGGUGAAAUGCAUAGAUAUGUCUCAGAACACCGAUUGCGAAGGCAGCUUACUAUGGUCUUAUUGACGCUGAGGCACGAAAGCGUGGGGAUCAAACAGGAUUAGAUACCCUGGUAGUCCACGCCCUAAACGAUGAACACUCGCUGUUGGCGAUACACAGUCAGCGGCUAAGCGAAAGCGUUAAGUGUUCCACCUGGGGAGUACGCCCGCAAGGGUGAAACUCAAAGGAAUUGACGGGGGCCCGCACAAGCGGAGGAGCAUGUGGUUUAAUUCGAUGAUACGCGAGGAACCUUACCCGGGCUUGAAAGUUAGUGAAUGAUUUAGAGAUAGAUCAGU
Molecule: ribosomal RNA, 634 nt
Filed under: Pedobacter sp. Ri1Ps_4819
Lineage: Bacteria; Pseudomonadati; Bacteroidota; Sphingobacteriia; Sphingobacteriales; Sphingobacteriaceae
Description: bacterial SSU rRNA
Rfam family: Bacterial small subunit ribosomal RNA
Source: RNAcentral